RNAcentral lists this ribosomal RNA (305 nucleotides) under uncultured bacterium. RNAcentral describes it as "bacterial SSU rRNA". It matches the Rfam family "Bacterial small subunit ribosomal RNA", at positions 336 to 638 of the family's 1533-position model. The record is from RNAcentral.
UUCCUACGGGGGGCAGCAGUGAGGAAUAUUGGUCAAUGGGCGCAGGCCUGAACCAGCCAAGUAGCGUGAAGGAUGACUGCCCUAUGGGUUGUAAACUUCUUUUAUAUGGGAAUAAAGUUUUCCACGUGUGGAAUUUUGUAUGUACUUUAUGAAUAAGGAUCGGCUAACUCCGUGCCAGCAGCCGCGGUAAUACGGAGGAUCCGAGCGUUAUCCGGAUUUAUUGGGUUUAAAGGGAGCGUAGAUGGGUUGUUAAGUCAGUUGUGAAAGUUUGCGGCUCAACCGUAAAAUUGCAAUUGAUACUGGCA